UUUGAAAAAUAAUGUGUUGUUGUGUUUAUAUAUUACUCCAAACAUGCCCCACUUUCCAAAAAAAUGUGAAUUUUCCAUGAAAUUUGACACUUUAUUUAUGAUUUUCGCCUUGGCGGCAUCCUUUACCAGUCUUAAUAUUUUAACCACUACUUCGUACAUGAAAAACCAACAAAAAGUGCAAAAAUCAUCGCUGGUGAGCAAUGCCGCCAUAUUCAAAAACGAAAAAAACGUCCGUCUCAGAGACACAUUUUUAUCCGAAAUUACACAAGCCUCGAUUUCGGUAAAAUGACGUUGAAGUUGAUGUCACUUAAUUAGAUAUUUGUUUUCAUUAAUUUGUUUUUCAAGCAACAGCCAUUAGAGCUAGUGUUAAAAUCAAUAAUAUCGGACGAAGAUUUUUAAGUUUAAACGUUUCAACAUUUAGUGAAAUAUCACAAACCUAAUGGGUGAAUUAGUGAAUUGUUUCCCUUUGAAAUCAACACGCCAUUAUCGGUGGAUACAUGUCUGAAACUGGGUCAGAGAAUACAUGCAGUUAUUGCUCUGAAUAUACGCGGAUAUUUAAAGUGCAUGGCGGAUUUAAUAAUUGUUAUGGAUAACCUCCAGCAGUAAGAAAUAUAAAGGCUCACUGCAGUUUUGAGUGCUCAACAAGUAUUGACCCCACACUAUGCUCAGCAAAUAGGGCCCUUGUAUUUCUGUGAAUCCUCAUGCAGUACAGUACUGCUGUUGGAAGAGGAGCAAACAGUGUGGUAUCUAUGGUCCACCAUCACUUAAGCAUCAUGGCUAUGGAGAAAAGAAUGUUUCAUUACAUAUGGACAAUUAUAGUGGACAAAAUAAGAAAAGUGUUGUAAUAAGCUAUGGAAUGUGUCUUGUUAUGAUGGGUCUACAUGAUGACUUGGAGUACAACCUGAUUGAGGCCCGGCAUACAGAAUUCAGUCCUGAACAUGUUUAGAAUGUCUUCUGCAUGACCUGGUAUAGAUAGUAUUCUUGAAGGAUUAUAACUUCAACACAGAGACGGAGAUUAAUAUUUUUAGGCAGGGGGUUGGCAAGACAGGCAAAUUCACCAACCGUAUUACCAUUCCUGAGCUGGAUACCAGUCGACAGUGGUACCUGUAUAAUGAAAUAGCGCCCCUUUGCAGCAACAGCAGUGUAUGCUCAAAACCAGCAGUGUCAAAGCCAUUGAAAUUGAUAAUUCAAGUCAUUUAAAACGAAGAAUGAAUGGAAAAAAGUGUUUAACAUUUAAAGUAAUACAGAGAAAGAGCUCUGAAAUUUUGAUUAAUUUGAAAGCGUUUUUGAUUUUUUGAAGAUGCACUAGACCCAAAUUCCAUAUAUUUGAAAAAGAACAAAUGAUACAUAUAGUUUAUGUAAACAUUGAAUUAACAACUUUAUGGUGUCAGCAGUACUAUGCAUUUGUUAAAUAUUGACUCACUAUAUACAUGUAAGGCUGAACACAGUAUAAAUGUGAAAUUCCUCUAAAAUACUGGAAGAUUUUUCAACAAUAAUUGUAACAUAUAUGGUAGUAAUGUACAUUUUUUUUCAUUACGACAGUUGGAUUAUAUAGAUCUACGAAUAUUUUCUGCUGUAUUCAAACUGCAUGUAAUCAUUUCUGUCGGCAGUAUCAUGUUUUUUUCCCAUUUUCAUGAACAAUUAAUUUAACCUGUCUUGAAAGCACAAUAUAUGUAUAAUUUGUAAAACAUACAUUACUGUGUGUUAAAUGAGAUUAUGUAGUAUUAUGUUUACGGAAUUAACUGCGUAACCAUGGAAACAUUUUUCUGUUGUUCUAUAUUAUGUCUUGAAAAAAACAUUGUUUGAAGAACACUUUUCAGUGGUGCAUUUUUUUAAAUUUUUACAUGUAAUGGUAAAUGCUGAAAGUGUUCUACAAUAACUUAGCAAAAACGUCAUUGUUGUCUCAUUGAAGCAUAUACUGCAACUCCAUUGUAACCAUAGCAACAGAAAUAUAUUGUAUUAUUUAUGAAUAAUGAUCUUCACAAACAAAUUACAUAUGUUAUUUUUCUUAAAGAAUGACCUAAAUUGGUUUUAUUCCAUAAAAAACAGACAUAGCAAAUAUUCUCAUUUUUAUCUCCGUUUCCAUGGCAACCAUAUAUUGUUUUUGCCUCAAAUUAUAGGCGUUGCUUAGGGUUAUAUCUUAGCAUAUCUGAAUGUUAAUUAUACGUUCUGAUGUAAUUGUUAUAAGAGAUUUUCGUGUUUCCAUAAAGAAAAUCAAUCGGUUGCCAUGGCAACAGCACAAUUUCAAAUGAAUUAAAAUAUGAGAUUUUGCA
Molecule: long non-coding RNA, 2273 nt
Organism: Mercenaria mercenaria
Lineage: Eukaryota; Metazoa; Mollusca; Bivalvia; Venerida; Veneridae
Exons: 5
Source: RefSeq, a predicted model, not a curated record